GAGGGUAUAGCUCAAGUGGUAGAGCACAUUCUUAGCAUGCAUGAGGUCCUGGGUUCAAUUCCCAGUACUUCCU
This 73-nucleotide transfer RNA is filed under the name Camelus bactrianus (Bactrian camel). It matches the Rfam family "tRNA". Rfam says of the family: Transfer RNA (tRNA) molecules are approximately 80 nucleotides in length. Their secondary structure includes four short double-helical elements and three loops (D, anti-codon, and T loops). Lineage: Eukaryota; Metazoa; Chordata; Mammalia; Artiodactyla; Camelidae. The record is from Rfam by way of RNAcentral. RNAcentral also lists the same sequence under 2 other names.